AUCCUCCAAGGCUAAAUACUCCUGAUUGACCGAUAGUGAACCAGUACUGUGAAGGAAAGGCGAAAAGAACCCCGGUGAGGGGAGUGAAAUAGAACCUGAAACCUUGUACGUACAAGCAGUGGGAGCCUGAAAGGGUGACUGCGUACCUUUUGUAUAAUGGGUCAGCGACUUAUAUUUUGUAGCGAGGUUAACCGAAUAGGGGAGCCGAAGGGAAACCGAGUCUUAACUGGGCGACGAGUUGCAAGGUAUAGACCCGAAACCCGGUGAUCUAGCCAUGGGCAGGUUGAAGGUUGGGUAACACUAACUGGAGGACCGAACCGACUAAUGUUGAAAAAUUAGCGGAUGACUUGUGGCUGGGGGUGA
This 363-nucleotide ribosomal RNA is filed under the name Haemophilus influenzae. RNAcentral's name for it is "bacterial LSU rRNA". It matches the Rfam family "Bacterial large subunit ribosomal RNA", at positions 455 to 824 of the family's 2925-position model. The record is from RNAcentral. Lineage: Bacteria; Pseudomonadati; Pseudomonadota; Gammaproteobacteria; Pasteurellales; Pasteurellaceae.